UACGUAGGGCGCAAGCGUUAUCCGGAAUUAUUGGGCGUAAAGAGCUCGUAGGCGGUUUGUCGCGUCUGCCGUGAAAGUCCGGGGCUCAACUCCGGAUUUGCGGUGGGUACGGGCAGACUAGAGUGAUGUAGGGGAGACUGGAAUUCCUGGUGUAGCGGUGAAAUGCGCAGAUAUCAGGAGGAACACCGAUGGCGAAGGCAGGUCUCUGGGCCACUACUGACGCUGAGAAGCGAAAGCAUGGGGAGCGAACAGG
This 253-nucleotide ribosomal RNA is filed under the name uncultured bacterium. RNAcentral describes it as "partial 16S ribosomal RNA". It matches the Rfam family "Bacterial small subunit ribosomal RNA", at positions 524 to 776 of the family's 1533-position model. The record is from RNAcentral.